RNAcentral lists this long non-coding RNA (343 nucleotides) under Panax ginseng (ginseng). Its description in RNAcentral is "long non-coding RNA (PGIN_LNC006771)". Lineage: Eukaryota; Viridiplantae; Streptophyta; Magnoliopsida; Apiales; Araliaceae. The record is from RNAcentral.
GCUCUCCACCAGCAGAGGAAUUGCUAUUUGGGGCACUCCCAAGCCGACCUCCAACAGCACCAUAUGCAGCUGGAUUUCCAUAGGAUCCAUCAGCUCCACCAUAACCAUAACCUCCACUUGGAGAUUGACCUGUGGGUGCUGAAACAGGUGCACCACCACCAGGACCACCAGUUGCGGCAGCAGAAGCACCCCAAGGAGUAUUCCCAUAGCCCAUAGUACCAUAUCCAGAGGACGCCUGAGUGCCAUAUGCACUUCUUGGUGCACCUGGAGGCCCACUUCCAUAACCAGUAUUAGGGACAUUAGGGUUCCCAUAGGCCGCAGCAGCAGGGCCACCAUACCCAGG